GUUUUGACGGCAUUGGACCAAAACAAUAAAACAACCUGUUGCAACUAAACGUCUAGUCGUGUGAGGUAAAGAACAGGAAAUCUUUUUAAACUACAAAAAAUAUUGGACAGGAAGAAAGGUGUAAUUCAAAUGGUUCCGUACCUACUUGCUCGUGUCUCGUUACCUUGAAUCAUUCUCUGAGUAGUGUUAUAUUUUCACUUAAAUUUGAUCAGAAAAUCAAAAAUCACAACAAAUAUGAUCUACUGUAACAAGAACGAAAUAUUUGAUUUACUGUUUGUUGCUAUUGGUAUUUUAAUGUUGUUAGGGAAUGCAGUUGCAUUAAAAAGUAAAGGUAAAUGUUUAAAUCGUUAUUUUGAAGCUUAUACUCGUAUAUAG
This is a non-coding RNA of Paramuricea clavata, 375 nucleotides long. The record is from the annotation of a GenBank genome assembly. Lineage: Eukaryota; Metazoa; Cnidaria; Anthozoa; Malacalcyonacea; Plexauridae.